Molecule: ribosomal RNA, 400 nt
Filed under: uncultured bacterium
Lineage: Bacteria
Description: bacterial SSU rRNA
Rfam family: Bacterial small subunit ribosomal RNA
Source: RNAcentral
GGAGGAAUAUUGGGCAAUGGGCGAAAGCCUGACCCAGCAACGCCGCGUGGAGGAUGAAAGCCUUCGGGUUGUAAACUCCUUUUGAGGGAGACGAGAAAGGACGGUAUCCCUCGAAUAAGUCACGGCUAACUACGUGCCAGCAGCCGCGGUAAAACGUAGGUGACGAGCGUUAUCCGGAUUUACUGGGCGUAAAGAGCUUGUAGGUGGCUCUGUAAGUUGGGUGUGAAAGCCCCGGGGCUUAACUCGGGGAGGUUGCUCAAUACUGCAGGGCUUGAGGAUGUCAGAGGGAAGUGGAAUUCCUGGUGUAGCAGUGAAAUGCGUAGAUAUCAGGAGGAACACCCGUGGCGAAGGCGGCUUCCUGGGGCACUCCUGACACUGAGAAGCGAAAGCUAGGGGAGCG